This 253-nucleotide ribosomal RNA is filed under the name uncultured bacterium. Its description in RNAcentral is "partial 16S ribosomal RNA". It matches the Rfam family "Bacterial small subunit ribosomal RNA", at positions 524 to 776 of the family's 1533-position model. The record is from RNAcentral.
UACGUAGGGUCCGAGCGUUGUCCGGAAUUAUUGGGCGUAAAGAGCUCGUAGGCGGUUUGUCGCGUCUGCUGUGAAAGCCCGAGGCUCAACUUCGGGUCUGCAGUGGGUACGGGCAGGCUAGAGUGCGGUAGGGGAGAACGGAAUUCCUGGUGUAGCGGUGGAAUGCGCAGAUAUCAGGAGGAACACCGAUGGCGAAGGCAGUUCUCUGGGCCGUUACUGACGCUGAGGAGCGAAAGCGUGGGGAGCGAACAGG